RNAcentral lists this ribosomal RNA (222 nucleotides) under Triticum aestivum (bread wheat). Its description in RNAcentral is "partial small subunit ribosomal RNA". Lineage: Eukaryota; Viridiplantae; Streptophyta; Magnoliopsida; Poales; Poaceae. The record is from RNAcentral.
AUGGAGGGACUCCUACACUGGGAUUUCUCACCUGGCCUUGCGGUCGCGGCUCAGGUGCGUCGCCAUUUUGGCUCUCAUGUCCACUUCUCCCCCACUGGAUCGACCAACGAGUUCUUCUUGGUCAUGUAUUUCUCUUUAGCAUCCUUUCCUCUUACUGAAGAAUCAGUGGCCAUUGCGCUUCAAUGUUGCAUCGGAGGAAUUCCUUCUGGUCUAAAUGUUUGA